This 243-nucleotide ribosomal RNA is filed under the name uncultured bacterium. RNAcentral's name for it is "partial 16S ribosomal RNA". It matches the Rfam family "Bacterial small subunit ribosomal RNA", at positions 15 to 257 of the family's 1533-position model. The record is from RNAcentral.
GAUCAUGGCUCAGGAUGAACGCUGGCGGCGUGCUUAACACAUGCAAGUCGAACGGAAAGGCUCCAGCUUGCUGGGGUGCUCGAGUGGCGAACGGGUGAGUAACACGUAAGUGAUCUGCCCUGCACUGGGGGAUAAGCUUGGGAAACUGGGUCUAAUACCCUAUAGGACCGCAUCGUGGUUGGUGUGGUGGAAAGGUUUUUCUGGUGUGGGAUGAGCUUGCGGCCUAUCAGCUUGUUGGUGGGG